This 748-nucleotide ribosomal RNA is filed under the name uncultured Ruminococcus sp. RNAcentral describes it as "bacterial SSU rRNA". It matches the Rfam family "Bacterial small subunit ribosomal RNA", at positions 28 to 776 of the family's 1533-position model. The record is from RNAcentral. Lineage: Bacteria; Bacillati; Bacillota; Clostridia; Eubacteriales; Oscillospiraceae.
GAUGAACGCUGGCGGCGUGCCUAACACAUGCAAGUCGAGCGAAGCACUUUGCUUAGAUUCUUCGGAUGAAGAGGAUUGUGACUGAGCGGCGGACGGGUGAGUAACGCGUGGGUAACCUGCCUCAUACAGGGGGAUAACAGUUAGACAUGACUGCUAAUACCGCAUAAGACCACAGCACCGCAUGGUGCGGGGGUAAAAACUCCGGUGGUAUGAGAUGGACCCGUGUCUGAUUAGCUAGUUGGUAAGGUAACGGCUUACCAAGGCGACGAUCAGUAGCCGACCUGAGAGGGUGACCGGCCACAUUGGGACUGAGACACGGCCCAAACUCCUACGGGAGGCAGCAGUGGGGAAUAUUGCACAAUGGGGGAAACCCUGAUGCAGCGACGCCGCGUGAGCGAAGAAGUAUUUCGGUAUGUAAAGCUCUAUCAGCAGGGAAGAAAAUGACGGUACCUGACUAAGAAGCACCGGCUAAAUACGUGCCAGCAGCCGCGGUAAUACGUAUGGUGCAAGCGUUAUCCGGAUUUGCUGGGUGUAAAGGGAGCGUAGACGGAUGGGCAAGUCUGAUGUGAAAACCCGGGGCUCAACCCCGGGACUGCAUUGGAAACUGUUCAUCUAGAGUGCUGGAGAGGUAAGUGGAAUUCCUAGUGUAGCGGUGAAAUGCGUAGAUAUUAGGAGGAACACCAGUGGCGAAGGCGGCUUACUGGACAGUAACUGACGUUGAGGCUCGAAAGCGUGGGGAGCAAACAGG